CAGCCGCCGCGGGAAUACGUAGGUGGCAAGCGUUGUCCGGAAUUAUUGGGCGUAAAGCGCGCGCAGGUGGUUUAAUAAGUCUGAUGUGAAAGCCCACGGCUCAACCGUGGAGGGUCAUUGGAAACUGUUAAACUUGAGUGCAGGAGAGAAAAGUGGAAUUCCUAGUGUAGCGGUGAAAUGCGUAGAGAUUAGGAGGAGCACCAGUGGCGAAGGCGGCUUUUUGGCCUGUAACUGACACUGAGGCGCGAAAGCGUGGGGAGCAAACAGGAUUAGAUACCCCGGUAGUCCCUGUCUCUUAUAC
This 301-nucleotide ribosomal RNA is filed under the name uncultured bacterium. Its description in RNAcentral is "partial 16S ribosomal RNA". It matches the Rfam family "Bacterial small subunit ribosomal RNA", at positions 509 to 807 of the family's 1533-position model. The record is from RNAcentral.